Molecule: ribosomal RNA, 253 nt
Filed under: uncultured bacterium
Lineage: Bacteria
Description: partial 16S ribosomal RNA
Rfam family: Bacterial small subunit ribosomal RNA
Source: RNAcentral
UACGUAGGGGGCAAGCGUUAUCCGGAUUCACUGGGUGUAAAGGGAGCGCAGGCGGUACGGCGAGUCUGAUGUGAAAACCCGGGGCCCAACCCCGGGACCGCACCGGAUACUGCCGGACUCGAGUGCCGGAGGGGCAGGCGGAAUUCCUGGUGUAGCGGUGAAAUGCGCAGAUAUCAGGAGGAACACCGGUGGCGAAGGCGGCCUGCUGGACGGUAACUGACGUUGAGGCUCGAAAGCGUGGGGAGCAAACAGG